GGCACGUAGCGCAGCCUGGUAGCGCACCGUCAUGGGGUGUCGGGGGUCGGAGGUUCAAAUCCUCUCGUGCCGACCAA
RNAcentral lists this transfer RNA (77 nucleotides) under Escherichia coli. RNAcentral's name for it is "tRNA-Pro". It matches the Rfam family "tRNA". Rfam says of the family: Transfer RNA (tRNA) molecules are approximately 80 nucleotides in length. Their secondary structure includes four short double-helical elements and three loops (D, anti-codon, and T loops). Further hydrogen bonds mediate the characteristic L-shaped molecular structure. tRNAs have two regions of fundamental functional importance: the anti-codon, which is responsible for specific mRNA codon recognition, and the 3' end, to which the tRNAs corresponding amino acid is attached (by aminoacyl-tRNA synthetases). tRNAs cope with the degeneracy of the genetic code in two manners: having more than one tRNA (with a specific anti-codon) for a particular amino acid; and 'wobble' base-pairing, i.e. permitting non-standard base-pairing at the 3rd anti-codon position. Lineage: Bacteria; Pseudomonadati; Pseudomonadota; Gammaproteobacteria; Enterobacterales; Enterobacteriaceae. RNAcentral also lists the same sequence under 2 other names. The record is from RNAcentral.